CUGGUUAAACUGCUCAUAGAGCCCCCCCCCCCACUCAAUAGCUCUGGGGCCACAGAUGACAUUCAUUCUGGGGGCCCCAGACAGCAAGCAGAACUCUGGCUGGUGGGUGGAGGCUCCAGCAGGCAGGCAGAGUUUCAGGUCAAGAACAGAGGAAGAAUGACAAUGGUCAGGACAGCUCAGGAGCAGAAUCGUUGGUCUCAGGAGGUGCCACAGAAGGGACCUGACUCAUCUCUGCACUGCACACGAGUGGCUGUUGGGCUUUCGUUUCUACAUCAAUAAAACCAGAACAGUAAUUGCUAGCUUCCAGGAUAUGGAGUAAAAGAAACGACGGCUUUGAAAACACCUUUACCAGAUGUACAAAGAGCCUCCAGGAGCGAGGGAAGGAGGUCUGAUCGGUUUUAGACUCUCUCUCCCACUUGUCUCCCCAUCCUCAUAAGCUGACGGAUGCAGGGAGAAAUAAUAAAUAUGUUCUAUGUCUAAAAUGGAACUGGCACAUU
Molecule: long non-coding RNA, 497 nt
Organism: Suricata suricatta (meerkat)
Lineage: Eukaryota; Metazoa; Chordata; Mammalia; Carnivora; Herpestidae
Exons: 3
Source: RefSeq, a predicted model, not a curated record